RNAcentral lists this ribosomal RNA (253 nucleotides) under uncultured bacterium. RNAcentral describes it as "partial 16S ribosomal RNA". It matches the Rfam family "Bacterial small subunit ribosomal RNA", at positions 524 to 776 of the family's 1533-position model. The record is from RNAcentral.
UACGUAGGUGGCAAGCGUUAUCCGGAUUUACUGGGUGUAAAGGGCGUGUAGGCGGGGACGCAAGUCAGAUGUGAAAACCACGGGCUCAACCUGUGGCCUGCAUUUGAGACUGUGUUUCUUGAGUACUGGAGAGGCAGACGGAAUUCCUAGUGUAGCGGUGAAAUGCGUAGAUAUUAGGAGGAACACCAGUGGCGAAGGCGGUCUGCUGGACAGCAACUGACGCUGAGGCGCGAAAGCGUGGGGAGCAAACAGG